GCUGAGAAAGAGAAAGCAAAAGAUGUUGUUGAUGUUGAUGACUAUGAGACCUCCAAGACUGCUGAAAGACCAACUGGUGGUAUAACAAAAAGGUUGAGAAGCUGUACAGGGAAGGCUGUGCCUACUGCAAGCAAAGCUCCAGCACCAAGAAUCAAAAUAAAAGGUGUUGGACCUAUAAAAAGUUGGAGUAAAGUUCUCUCCCCUCCUGGCAAGAAGAAGGAUACACUGAAGAGGAAGAAGGAGUCAUCCAGUGACUCAGAUUAUGAUGCUGCUGAAGAUGUUGCUAACAUCUCAUCUCCCAACCCUA
Molecule: long non-coding RNA, 307 nt
Filed under: Trifolium pratense (red clover)
Lineage: Eukaryota; Viridiplantae; Streptophyta; Magnoliopsida; Fabales; Fabaceae
Description: long non-coding RNA (TPRA_LNC010507)
Source: RNAcentral